GUGGGCUACGGAGACAUGCGGCCGAUCGGGGUGUGGGGCAAGCUGGUUGGCUCUCUGUGCGCCAUCGCUGGCGUGCUCACGAUCGCGCUUCCUGUCCCUGUCAUUGUGUCUAAU
Aplysia californica (California sea hare) is the source of this 114-nucleotide non-coding RNA. Lineage: Eukaryota; Metazoa; Mollusca; Gastropoda; Aplysiida; Aplysiidae. The record is from Rfam.